This 1760-nucleotide long non-coding RNA is filed under the name Phoenix dactylifera (date palm). RNAcentral describes it as "long non-coding RNA (PDAC_LNC010652)". The record is from RNAcentral. Lineage: Eukaryota; Viridiplantae; Streptophyta; Magnoliopsida; Arecales; Arecaceae.
UCAUAUUUAAAAUCAUAGAGAUUAAAUAUGAGAUGAAAGAAAAAUAUUCAUUUAAGAGUAAGAGGAUUCAUACAACUCCAAGAACAGAAAUUAAAGAUACAAAAAUCCUUAUUUCUCUGUUAGAGCUUCAUCCAACCCUAGUGAGGAGAUCAGCCCUGCAUGGUUGUGGACGACAGCAGCAGCGCAAAGGGCUUCCAUCGCGACCAGAACUUCUUCCUUUCUUCCUCCGGCUCUUUCCUCUCCCCUCUCUAGCACUUCAUUUUUUAUUCUUUCUGUGGAAAGUUCUUCCCAGAAUACCGCAAAGUAUUCUCCCUCCUUUUACUCUAUGGGAUUCGGCCUGAGAGAAGAUUGCCAUGGGAUCCGUCUCCUCCUUCUUUUAUAGCCUUCACUAGCCCUCCUGUUUCCCUCUCUGGAUAGGAUCUUCCGAGUGGGAAGAUAAGGGCAAGGAACGGCUUCCUGUUCCAUGGACAUGAUCGAGAUGGGGAGAUGAUCUGAUCCGGACGUGAAAGUCGGUGAGCUAGGAGCCGGAAUUCCUUGGCUAAAGUCGGCUUGAUCCUUGGCUGUAGGGGAUGGCGAGGACGUGGACGUCAGAUUGAGCUUACGGCUGAGAUGGAGAUGCGGGAGGCUUGAAAACGGUGGAUACGGCUGAGAACAGGGGAUCUUUGGAUGCGGAAGGAUGGAGUUGAUCCAGAAGUUGGGAGGAAAAGCUUAGAUGCCGUGAAGCUCGGGAGGAUGAAGCCGAGGAAGCUAGGGAGCUGAUCCGGAAGAUGCUGGGAUGAAUCCGGAUGGGAAGACGACUCUAUUCCUUGGGAGGAUGAGCUCGGAAAGGACGUGGAGGAGGUCGUGGAGAAACAGGGGAUGUUUUUGUUCUAAUCUAGAUUCGGUUCUGGAUGAAUGUCAUGGAACAGGGGAGUUGGAAAGGAUUCAUAAAUUCAGGACUUGGAAUUCAGAAGAAAUGAAGCUGGGAAGAGAUUUUUGGACUGCGGAAGAAUCCUUCGGCUAGGAACAGGGGAGCUAGGAAGUUUGGAUAAGGAUGAUAGGAAAUAUGGGAGUUCGGAAGGCUUAUCUUGGCUGGGAUCUAGCGGAAGUAGAUGGGUUGGUUCAGAAGAUGGCUGGGACAUGAUCCACAGAAUGGGGAGAGGGUGAUGCUGAAAUGGAGACGUGAGAGGAUCUCGGAGGUUGGGAUGGCUGGAUGUGAUUCGUGAUGAGAAGAGAUUGGGGUUGACUCUAUUUUGAAGCUUAAACAGGGGAGGAAAGAGAUGACGUGGAAGGAACUUUGGAUGCGGAAGGGAAGGACGUGCACAUGGCUGAGAUGUGAAUGGGUGUGAUCAUGGGUGUUUGAUACAGGGGUUGUGAUCCUAUUAGUUGGUAAGAUGGUUGGAACGUGUGGGAAGGGAAUUAGGUGACUGAGAUGUGAUGCAGGGAAGUUUUGUUGAGCCAAAUGCGGAAAAGAAACAAGUGAGUUGGGAUGAACGGCAGAAUCAGAAUAUGAGAGGGUCUUGAUUUGCAGGGUGCAUACGAUUUGGGUUCAGAAAUUAUCCCAAAUGAGCUUGACUCAACCUGCAUAUAUAUUAGACUCGACCUGCAUAGAUUGGACUCGACCAAUAAAAUCAAUCAAACUUGAAUUACUUCUAGUGAUUCAUUAAAAUGGAAAGGAAGAGAAACACAUUUUCUUAUGUUUAAAUUUAAAAUAUGUACAUAAAAAUAAUAAUAAGUGCUAUGUAAAAUAGAUAAAUUUAUUCAUUAUUUAGCACUUAUCA